Molecule: small RNA, 362 nt
Filed under: pig gut metagenome
Description: transfer-messenger RNA
Rfam family: transfer-messenger RNA
About the family: Bacterial tmRNA, also known as 10Sa RNA or SsrA, is named for its dual tRNA and mRNA-like properties. Its role is to liberate the mRNA from a stalled ribosome.
Source: RNAcentral
GGGGAUGUCUUUGGUUUCGACGGGGGUGUGGAAACCGGAGAAGCGAGCCGCAGUUUGCCCAGUCUGCGUUAAAAGGGGCACGUUAAAUAUAAACGCUAAAAAAACAAACAACAAUUUCGCAUUAGCAGCGUAGUUCUGCGCGAACGUCAGCCCGAGUUCACCUGUAGGCCCGGAAUCUGACGUCAAACAUACAGGAAAACUCUAUGUGAGCUCCUGGUAGCAUAGGGGAACAACAGGAUAGCCGAUAUGCGAGCCUGCUUUUGGGCGCGCAUGGAAGCGAACUUUUAAAUCAAAAGCUGCGCUCGGAGAAACUCCCGCGGAAGUGCUUUCGGACGCGAGUUCGAUUCUCGCCAUCUCCACCA